AUACUUACCUGGCAGGGGAGAUACCAUGAUCAGCAAGGUGGUUUUCCCAGCGUGAGGCUCAUCCAUUGCACUGUGGGUGUGCUGACCUCUGUGAUUUCCCCAAAUGUGGGAAACUCAACUGCAGAAUUUGUGGUAGUGGGGGACUGCGUUCGCGCUUUCCCCUG
Chelydra serpentina (North American snapping turtle) is the source of this 164-nucleotide small nuclear RNA. Its record names the gene U1. It matches the Rfam family "U1 spliceosomal RNA". From Rfam's summary of the family: U1 is a small nuclear RNA (snRNA) component of the spliceosome (involved in pre-mRNA splicing). The record is from Ensembl. NCBI's taxonomy places the organism in Eukaryota, Metazoa, Chordata, Testudines, Chelydridae.